UGAGGAAUAUUGCACAAUGGGCGCAAGCCUGAUGCAGCGACGCCGCGUGUGGGAUGAAGGGGCUACGCCUCGUAAACCACGGUAGCCCGGGACGAAAAACGCCUUAGAGGCGUUAGACGGUACCGGGAAAGUAAGGGUCGGCUAACUACGUGCCAGCAGCCGCGGUAAUACGUAGGACCCAAGCGUUGUCCGGAUUUACUGGGGGUAAAGGGUGCGCAGGCGGAUGGGUAAGUCAGGGGUGAAAGUCUGCAGGUUAACUGUAGAAUUGCCUUUAAUACUGCUCCUCUUGAGUGUGGGAGAAGGUGAUGGAAUUCCAGGUGUAGCAGUGAAAUGCGUAGAUAUCUGGAAGAACACCAGUGGCGAAGGCGGUCAACUGGCCCAUAACUGACGCUCAUGCACGAAAGCGUGUGGAGCAAACA
Molecule: ribosomal RNA, 419 nt
Filed under: uncultured bacterium
Lineage: Bacteria
Description: bacterial SSU rRNA
Rfam family: Bacterial small subunit ribosomal RNA
Source: RNAcentral